This 379-nucleotide long non-coding RNA is filed under the name Salmo salar (Atlantic salmon). RNAcentral describes it as "lncRNA (ENSSSAG00000110804.1)". Lineage: Eukaryota; Metazoa; Chordata; Actinopteri; Salmoniformes; Salmonidae. The record is from RNAcentral.
AGUGUGUGUGUGUUUAUCCAGUGGGUCCAGUGUGUGUGUGUGUGUGUGUGUGUCCAGUGUGUUUGUGUGUGUCCAGUGUGUGUGUGUGUCCAGUGUGUUUCCAGUGCGUUUGUAUGUCCGUUUGAGUGAGUGUGUGUAUGUCAUUCCAGUGUUUGUGUUUGUCCAGUUUGAGUGGGUGGCCAGUGUGUGUGUGUUUCAGUGUGUGUGUGUGUGUGUGUCCAGUGAGUGUGUGUGUGUGUGUGUGUGUCCAGUGAGUGUGUGUGUGUAUGUGUUGUGUGUGUGUGUGUGUGUGUUUCAGUGUGUGUGUGUGUGUGUGUGUGUGUGUGUGUGUGUUCAGUGUGUGUGUGUGUGUGUGUGUGUCCAGUGUGUAUGUGUGUGU